This 718-nucleotide unclassified non-coding RNA is filed under the name uncultured Bordetella sp. RNAcentral's name for it is "partial 16S-23S ribosomal RNA intergenic spacer". It matches the Rfam family "Bacterial small subunit ribosomal RNA", at positions 10 to 723 of the family's 1533-position model. Lineage: Bacteria; Pseudomonadati; Pseudomonadota; Betaproteobacteria; Burkholderiales; Alcaligenaceae. The record is from RNAcentral.
AGUUCGAUCAUGGCUCAGAUUGAACGCUGGCGGGAUGCUUUACAUGCAAGUAGAACGGCAGCACGGACUUCGGUCUGGUGGCGAGUGGCGAACGGGUGAGUAAUGUAUCGGAACGUGCCUAAUGGCAGGGGAUAACUACGCGAAAGCGUAGCUAAUACCGCAUACGCCCUUCGGGGAAAGCGGGGACCUUCGGGCCUCACUAUUAGAGCAGCCGGAUUAGCUAGUUGGUGGGGUAACGGCUCACCAAGGCGACGAUCCGUAGCUGGUUUGACGACCAGCCACACUGGGACUGGAGACACGGCCCAGACUCCUACGGGAGGCAGCAGUGGGGAAUUUUGGACAAUGGGGAAACCUGAUCCAGCCAUCCCGCGUGUGCGAUGAAGGCCUUCGGGUUGUAAAGCACUUUUGGCAGGAAAAGAAACGGCACGGGAUAAUACCCGUGCAACUGACGGUACCUGCAGAAUAAGCACCGGCUAACUACGUGCCAGCAGCCGCGGUAAUACGUAGGGUGCAAGCGUUAAUCCAGAUUACUGGGCGUAAAGCGUGCGCAGGCCAGAAGGUCACUUCCCCGAAGGGCGUAUUGCGGUAUUAGCUACGCUUUCGCGUAGUUAUCCCCCGCUACGGGCACGUUCAUUUGUGCGCCCUCGCCACCAGACCGAAGUCCGUGCUGCCGUUCGACUUGCAUGUGCAAGCGCCGCAGCGUUCAAUCUGAGCCAUG